This 16517-nucleotide long non-coding RNA is filed under the name Daucus carota (carrot). Its description in RNAcentral is "long non-coding RNA (DCAR_LNC002788)". Lineage: Eukaryota; Viridiplantae; Streptophyta; Magnoliopsida; Apiales; Apiaceae. The record is from RNAcentral.
GGAUCAAAAUGAGAGGCAAAUCAGUCGUAAGUACGGCCACGGAAGUUGACAAGCAAGUACAGAGGCACCGCAACAAUUAGAACCAAGAGAAUGACAAAAAAUCUGGCGACAGGAUUGUUGAGGUAUUUAAAAAUAAACGAGACUUGAUUCUUGAGCAAAGGGAUGUCGAAUUCCUCCUCUUCGAGGGAUCCGGUUCUCAAGUGGUGACGAUGGUGACUAAACUUGAAUGAAAAAUAAGGAAACAGGACGAGAGAGUGUGUGAGGAAUCCGACUGUAUCGUCGAGCCAUUUGUAGUCGCUGAAUGCCCCGUGCCCACAUUCGUGACCUAUGACCCAAAAUCGAGCAAGUAUGCAUCCUUGAAGCAAUGAAUAUAUAAUCCAACAAGUAAGAAAAUAUAAUUUGGAUGACUUGACUACUUCCGAUGUUAAGAUAUAGGUUGCGGCAAUGUAGUAAAGAGAGAAAGAAAUGAAGAGAUCUAAGGCGAGAUAUGACAAAGAGCGAAUAGCCGAACGCUGAAAACAAUGUGGUGGAACUGCUUUCUUGACAUCACUUAGAGUGAAUGGAGGUUUGGUGUGGGGAGAUCUUAAUGUUCUUUUCACGCUACAAUCCGAUUUUCGGUCCAUUUGGUAUCUGCAAAGUAGCAAUGAUACAAAGAGCUUGAUGAGUUGAAAGAAUUGGAAGAGAAUGUGAUGAAGUUGCAAAUGCAGAGGAAAGCGGAAUGGAUAUAUAGGCACUGGAUGGGCACCAACUCCAUGAAUUAAGUAGCAGGAAAGUCAUAUGGAAGCCAUCACGUAAGAAGUAGUUUUCCUCGUUUUCUUUCCCAGUCACAUGUCAAUUGUACAGCAAGUAAGAAUGUUUUUGUCUUGUUAGAAAAGAGAAUGAUUUUUCAUCUUAGUCGCCUACUUGCUUUAAUUCUGCGCUGAACAUAGCCUAAUUGUCAUAAUCCAUUCAUUAUCGAUGGCUAAGUGACCACUUGACUAACAAAUUAAUAUUCCUGUCCAAAGAAAAAAGAAACAAUAGCACUUAGUAUUCACCAGCCGUCAUAACCUAAAAAACUUGCGCGGACAUCUUUCUCAUUGUUAGUUAAAUAUACUCCACAUCCUGUUUCAAAUACUUCACUCUUUAUUUUCUGGCACACUAUUCUAAGAAAUUUGACUGCAUAAUUACAAAUUUUAUUUUUUAAAGUUUACUUUUUUCAAUAAAAUUAUGAAAUUUGUACUUUAACUCGCAACAAAAAAAAAUUAAAAAUAUUAACUGAACUGCCGUCAAUGAACUAAAAAUGUGUGCAUAAAAGUCAAACGUCAAAUAUUUGAACAAAAGAAGUAAAAACUAAUUUAUUGAAUUAAAUAUGUGUGAAGCUUAAUUGUUCCCGAUGACGUUUUAUUUAACAAAUAUAUACAGAGGAAAAAAAUGUCAAAUAAAUGACCACGUUAAGUUGUCUAGUAAUAGUUAUAUUAUGGGUCAAAACUUAAUUAAUUUGAAUAAUUUAGCCGUGAGUAGUGUUGGAGGGUGUUUGUUAUUUGGAAGUCCAUUUCAAAUUCAGAAUUCGAUAUAAUGACAUGUUUGUUCUUGAAUAUAUUAAAAAAUUAGAUUAUAUUUAAAAGCUCAGACAUUCUAUAUUAAUCUAAACUUGAAAUUUUGAAAUGUAGAACUCAAAUUUUCACAUGUGAAAUCGAAGGUUUGAAAUGUAAAUAUUUCUGGACACCAAAUACACUCCAGUGUAAUUGAUCCAUCUUAGUUUGACUCUUUUCUUUGAUGUCCUUUUUAAUGUAGAAUGGAAGAAUAAGGAUUCAUAUCUGCAAUUUUUAGUAACCCUACAUAUGCAAUUAUAAGUACAACUUUGAAAAAAAUAAUUGAAAAUUAUAUUUAAUACAAAAUAAGUUGCAAAUUGUUGCAAAUGGUGAAAAAUGAGUGCCCCUACAAGACCAGCCUUAAUAUCACGAAAGAAACUACAAAAUCAACUAAAACCAAUCAAACUCCUUCACUACUAACACAUCAACAAGCCACAUCCAACCACCAAAACUCUCCCUCAUCAACACCCGUUGCAUCCACUUCUCCACUUCCAUCUGCUACGACAUCUCCACCAUCUUAAUCAAUUCAGGGGCGUCGUCGUCUCCGCCGAUACCAAUCAAUCCUCCUCUACCAGUAACACCUUCCUUUCCAUCAUCACCGCCGCCCGCCGCACCCGGCUCAACUCCGACCAUCAUGUCUCCUCAGUGAUAUCCCGAUCUCAGUCGUCUCUCUGCUCCACCGUGAUAGGGGCAGUGACAUCAAAAAAAAUUAUUGUUAUACUUUAAGAUAGGAAUAAAAAAUCGUAUUAUUGAAAGAAUAAUAAACUGAGCAGGCAUAAAUAUUGAAAGAGAAACAAUGAAGAUGUAUUUUUACAAAUAAAAUAGAGAGACCACGUACACAAUUUUCCUAAAAAUUACUCAUAAGACAUAAAUUAUCAAUAAAUCAUUUUUAUUUUCAUUAUUAUAUUUUUAGUAACUCGUAAUCAUUAAUAUGUAAAAAUUAUCUAAACAGAUAUUUUAAACUCUCAGCUUAUCAUAUAACUCAUGUUAAAUCAUAAGUCAUUUUAAGUUAUAAGCUCAGUCAAAUGGGCUCUAAGUAACCAUAAAAUUGAAAAAAUAUUCUUUUUUUUAUUUUAUUAAUUAUUAUGCGUCCGGAAUAAAGGAGUUAACGCAAUAACUUAAACAAUAUGCAACAUAGACCAUAUGAUUUACGUCGAUUUUUUUAGCAACAUCCACACCGAUAGAAAAUUUAUAUUAAUCACCAAUCGACGUUAAUGACAGUUAUAUGUGUCGUUUAAUUCAUGUCUUACGGUCUAUAACCAACGCAGCUAUAAUAAAAGUAACAACGAUGACCCAUAUCUUUAGUAACACUGCCAAUAUUCACUACAAGGAAAAAGGGUAAUUUCGACCGUUUUUUUCGACCGAAACCUUUUAUUAUAGCUGCGUUGGUUGUAAAAUAAGUGGUCGAAAUUAAUUAAUUCGACCGUAUAUGAUCGAAAAUAAAACCGGUCGAAAAUAGCCGGUCGAAAAAAAGUUGUUUUCGACGCGUGCAUUCGACCGGUCCCUCCAUUUUAUUCUCGUCAUGGUUUUGGUCGAAAAUAACCUCCGGUUGAAAAUAUUUCGUGGGCGGGAAAAUUGCCGCACUUUUGAAUUUGAAUUUUUUUAGUACGUGUCGCCCGUUUUCGGUCGAAAUAUAAUUUCGACCGAAUUUGGUCGAAAAUAUAAAUGCGACUGUAUCUGGUCGAAGGUAUGAAUUCGACCAUAUCUGGUCGAAAUCAUAAAUUCGACCGCUGUUGGUCGAAAAUAUAAAUGCGACCGUAUCUAGUCGAAGGUGUAAAUUCGACCAAAUAUGGUCGCAAUUACAAAUUUGACCGAAUUUGGUCGAAAGUAUAAAUUCGACCAGAUACGAUCGAAUAUAUGCGCAUAAAAAUAAUACCACACCCCCUUUCCUUUCCAGUAGCCGUUGUCCAACUUAGCUUUCCUCCAUUCCCUCUCUCUUUUUGCACCCCAAGUUCAUGAAUUUCAUAUGAAAUCAUCAUAAAUCAUCAAGUAAGUAAUCUUUUUUAGUCACUUAAUAUCUAUAUAUGUACUUAUCUUUGUCAAUUAUUGUAAUUGUAGAAUUUUUUUUCAUAUAUUUAUGACUUUUCAUGUUUCUAUAGUUAUGAUAUAUUUGCACAUUUUAAUUAGGGUAUUUUUGUUGAAAUGCUUUAAAAUAAAUUCAAUGUAUGUAUUUCUUGUAGAUGGCAUCUGAUCGUAGUUGGAUUAGUCGUAGUCGAUAUAACGAGUCAAGAUAUUUAACGAACGAAUACAAAAAUGGUGUUGAAGAUUUCAUUAAAUUUGCUUGUGAGAAUAUUCGUGAAAGAAAUGGUGGGGUUAUUAGGUGUCCGUGUGGACAUUGUAAAAAUAAGCACUACAAGACUCCUAUUGUCGUUAAACUUGAUUUGUAUCGGUAUGGUAUGAUGCAAUGGUAUACCAUAUGGACUGCACAUGGGGAGGAAAUGCCGGCAGAAAAUAUCGGGACGAGUAGUAGAAAUGUUGGUGAUGGGGAUGAUGAUAUGUAUUAUGACGCCGAUGAUAUGUUAAGAGAUUUUGGGGAGGCAAAUAAGUAGUGUGAGUAUGUGGAGGAUGAACCGAAUCCAGACGCCAAAGAAUUUUAUAAGAUGCUGCAUAGUGCUUCGGAACCGAUUUAUCCAAAUAAUGUCAACUAUACAACCUUUGAGUUCGUGAAUGAGUUACUUCAUUUCAAGAACAAGCAUAAUUGUAGUAACAAUGGCUUUGAUGAGUUGCUUAAGCUCAUUGGAUCAGUCUUGCCUGACAAUCAUAAACUGCCCCAAACCUACUAUGCUGUGAAAAAUAUGCUUAAAGGAUUGAAUUUGGGAUAUGAAAAGAUUGAUGCUUGUGAGAAUGACUGUAUGUUAUUUUACAAGGAAAAUAGCGAGAAGAUGCGUUGUGACAUAUGCAAUGAAAGUCGAUACAAAGAACCAAAAGAUCUUAACAAAAAAAAGAUCCCACGGAAAGUCUUGCACUAUUUUCCUUUUACCUCGAGACUGCAACGUUUGUUCAUGGCUGGGAAGACUGCAAAAUGUAUGAGAUGGCAUCAUAACAGAAAUGUGGUUGAAGGUGAAUUAAGUCACCCGGCAGAUGGAGAUGAGUGGAAACAAUUUGACUGCAGGUUUCCAAAAUUUUCAAAAGAGAUUCGAAAUGUGAGACUCGGACUUUCUUCUGAUGGAUUUGAUCCCUUUCGUGAUGCACAUGCGAGAGAUUAUACAGUAUGGCCUAUGGUGGUUGUUGUUUACAACCUUCCCCCAUCUAUGUGCACGAAAGCUCCGUACAUGUUUAUGCCUCUUCUUAUUCCCGGGCCUAAGGAUCCAACGAAAGACUUGCUUGUUUAUCUUAGACCAUUGAUUGAUAAAUUGAGAGAUUUAUGGCAGAAUGGGGUGGAAACCUAUGAUAGGUUCUCACGUUCCAACUUUUUGAUGAGAGCAGCAUUGAUGUGGACAAUUAGCGACUUUCCUGCACUUGCCAUGCUUAGCGGGUGGUCGACUAAGGGGAAGUUGUCAUGUCCAGUUUGCAUGGGAGAGGUAAAGGCCAAACAACUCAAGUAUGGUGGCAAAGUUACCUUUUAUGGCACUUCUAGAUAUUUUUUAGAACCGGAUGAUCCAUUAAGAAGAAGUACGAGAUUUGGAAGUGUUGAGACACGAUCAUGCACAUGUCGUCAUUCAGGAAUAAUUGCAAAGACCAUGUGUGAGCAUAAACAAUUCCCCCCUCCAGGAAAGUCAUCUAAGAAGAAAGCAAAAGAUUAUGGUGUGACACAUAAUUGGAUCCACUUUUCCCCAUUUUUUGAGCUUCCGUAUUGGGAGACCCUUAGUCUUCGUCAUAACAUCGAUAUCAUGCACACGGAGAAAAAUGUUUUUGACAACAUAUUCUACAUGAUUCUUGAUGAUAAGCAAAAGUCAAAAGAUAGUAGGUCAGAUUCAAUUGUCGAAGUUGCCAAUACAGUUGGAAAAUGCAGUAGAACUUGUUUCUUAGUGUGUAAGUUGUGGUCAGAUUCAAUUGUCGAAGUUGAAAACCAGUCAACUAUUUUUAUAUCAACUUUUGUUUUAAUAGAAGUAUUUACCACCGUAUUUAAAAGUUUAACCAAAGUGACUUUUAAAUUUUCAGAUGUGCUAUUACUUUUAAGUUUAAUAGAUUGACUAGAAUUUUUAUAUGGAUACGAUGAUAUGUUCUGUUACGUCUGACCCAUGUGUCAAAUCUGAACAAGUAUUAGCAUAUACCUGAUAUAUAUCUGGUCUUAGCCAUUGUUAUAAGUUUUAAUUUCUUAUCAAUGUCGAUUGCAACUACCUUUUACUGGUCAAUACAUAUAGGGUGAUUAUGGAACUUGAUUCAAGGUAUAUGAUUGUCCUAUGUAGAUUCGGCUAAACCAGGGGCUGGUAAGGGACGGAGUGGCACAAUCAAUGGAGAGGGAGAGCGUGGUGAUGGGCACUCCAUCACUAAACGGAGUAAAAGAAAGAAUGACAAGGACAGAUAAGAAGAAGUUCCACACAUGGAAGAAGAUUUCAGUGAUGGAGAAAGCUUUCUUGAAGGUUUCGAGGCGGGAGAAACUAGCAACAAAAUAAAAUUCGAGAGGAAGGCACGGGAUACUAACCAAGGUGACUAUGCGACUAAACCGGAUCCAAAUGCAAAGCAGAUCUUACAUUUUAAUGCCAAAAGAACAGGGUACAUUUUACUCAUUUUUUUAGUUGUCUUGUUCUACAAUUACAUUUGCAUUUCUGUAGAAGUGUAUAAGUUGUUUUAUCCUGUUGUGUUGGUGGGAAUUUAAUUCUUGUUUUAUGCAGCAUACUUGAUAAGGAGAAUAAGAACACUUUGGGCUACAUUGCUAAAGAGCUAUGGAAUGAGAAAACUGUUUUUGACAAGGGAGCCAAGCGUGAACGUUUUUACAACAAUUGCAUCAAAAUUUUGAAAGUAAGAUUUACUUCUAUUUUUUCAAUUUUUUCCAUCGAUGUAAAACUUUAAUAUGUCUGUGUGCUAAUUAUGUGCGAGAAGAUACACCUUUGAAUUUUAUUUUUUAUUUUGAUAUACUAAACUAUGUCCACGAUAAUCACUAAAUUUAAUAGCUAUGUAAGUUACAUCUGGCCACCAUUGCUUUUUGUUGCUUUAUGUUAACUUAGACAUAUUUUAUGAUUUUGCCUACAGACUUAUUACACAUAUCAAGAUGGAUAUACAACCGAGGAGGGGGACAGUAUUUGUCGAAAGCAUCUACACAGAAAUUUCAAGUCGGCUCUUAAUAAAAUAAAGACCCGACGUGAUACAAAGAUGUCCGCUCUUAAGGAUGCUGGAUACAAUAAUAAUAAAAUACCUUGGGACUUGUGCAAGCCUCAUUAUUUCUCUUCUGAGGUAUGGCAAUCUCUUUUGAAAUAUUAGAAUUUGGCCGACACCAAGAAAAGGUCAAAAUAUGCAAAGGAAGCACGGAAAAAGCUACAAUGUCACUCGCGCACAGGGGCAAUGUCGUAUGAUGUGAGACGCGAGGUAUACUACUAUUUUUCUAUUAGUUUCCAUGUUCUUUUUAUUUGUAUCACCUGUCAAGUAAAUUGGUGCACUAAUUUUAAAUUUUUUUAUAUUUGCUCGGAAGAAAAUUGAUAAAGAAAGAGAGGCGAAAGGCUUGCCACCACUAACACAUUUAGAGUUUGUGGAUUAUGUAUAUAAUCCUAAUGAACCAGCGGUGAAAGAACUGAAGGUUUGUUUUACUAGUGUUGUGCAGUGCGCACUUUAUAUUCUGUAUCAUUUGUAGAUGAUUGGCAAUUAUGCAAAUGAAUCUUACUGUUGAAUUCUUGCUUGUUAUAUUGUAGGAGAAAAUGAUUGAGGUUGAGUCUUCUAUGCCUCCAUUGCCUGAAGAUGGUGAAAGAGUUUCUACAGAAAUUAAGCAAAAGCGAGAUCUGUUGGUGUUGCUAAAGGGUAAACCUCCUAGGAAAGGGAAACUGAGUCUUUUUCCCGGAGUUAUAUCGGACUCACUACAUCCGGGCAGCUAGGGGAUUAAUUCCCAAAAUUCUCAUUGAUAAUGACAAGGUCAUUAUAAAGGUAUGUGCCCCCAGCUUAGCGACAAUAAACCUAGCUUUCCAUAUUUUUGUCUUUCUUUCUGCACUUAGUAUUUCUUUUUCAAUAUGCAAAUAAUUCUUCAUGCUUGUGCAUUGACAUUUUUAUUAAUUAACUGUAUCUUUUAAUAUCCGUACAACAUAUAUCAUUUCAUCAUGUGAACUUGAGUACAUUAGUAAAUAUAAUAAAUAUAAUAUUAAGUUUCUUGCUCUAUUGUCCAACUUGUUCACCUACUGUUCGUGCCUCAUCUUACAUAAUAAAUAUGAGAUUAACUACUCUGCUUACGCAUUGAUGGUGUGAAACAGUGUGUGUGUGUGUGUGUGUGUGUGUGUGUGUGUGUGUGUGUGUUUGUUUGUGAGAUGAAUCUAGUUUAUUGAAUUCACAUUNUGAAAAUAUUUCGUGGGCGGGAAAAUUGCCGCACUUUUGAAUUUGAAUUUUUUUAGUACGUGUCGCCCGUUUUCGGUCGAAAUAUAAUUUCGACCGAAUUUGGUCGAAAAUAUAAAUGCGACUGUAUCUGGUCGAAGGUAUGAAUUCGACCAUAUCUGGUCGAAAUCAUAAAUUCGACCGCUGUUGGUCGAAAAUAUAAAUGCGACCGUAUCUAGUCGAAGGUGUAAAUUCGACCAAAUAUGGUCGCAAUUACAAAUUUGACCGAAUUUGGUCGAAAGUAUAAAUUCGACCAGAUACGAUCGAAUAUAUGCGCAUAAAAAUAAUACCACACCCCCUUUCCUUUCCAGUAGCCGUUGUCCAACUUAGCUUUCCUCCAUUCCCUCUCUCUUUUUGCACCCCAAGUUCAUGAAUUUCAUAUGAAAUCAUCGUGUGUGUGUGUGUGUGUGUGUGUGUGUGUGUGUGUGUGUGUUUGUUUGUGAGAUGAAUCUAGUUUAUUGAAUUCACAUUAUGAAGAUAAUAUGUUUGAAUCUGGAUUGUUUUGGGUUGUGUGAUUAGAUGGGGAUCAUAAUUUCCUUAUGAAAUGUCAAUGUUGGAAUGCUGGUUUGUUUGUUUUUCUGUGUCGGUGGAUUUAGUUGUUUUGUGUUUUUCGUGAUCACGGCAUCUCUUGGUCAUGUGGCUUUGUUUGGAGUUUCUUUAUGUUGCUAUGGAUCUGAAUCUGUUAAGUUCUACUAUUUACUUUUGAUCUGAUUGUGUUUCCAUUGGUUUGAUUUGAUCGAUAUUCCAGUUGUAGUAUGGGCAACGCUUCUCCUUUACUAGUUGAUUAGUUCAAUCUUCUUUUAAUGUGCUCUAUGAUUGCAAGUUAUUCCUAUGAUUUUAGUUCUUGGUUUAGUCAAGUGGCAUAGAAGAAGAUUGAUUUUAAUGCUUCAGUUCUCAUCUUAAUUAAGUGGAAUAGUACUGGAAUCUUAACUCCAUCGCUCUCAUUGAUAAUGAGUUGGAUCAAAAGUAUUAAAUGGUGAUUGGUAACUGCCUGUCUGUAAUAUCUAUGUUUUAAUUUGAACAUAUAUCCUACCGGCCUUUUGGUAGCAUUGUAAGUUCUCAGUUUUUUGUUUCAGUUGGCACACUUCUGUAUCUGAAGUUUUCAUAACGUUUGCUACUUACUAAAAGAUCAUUUCUUUUCAAGACUCUUGCCAACAUAAUAUCAUUAUAUCAUAAGAUCCAGAAACCUUUAAACAUUCACAAAUGGUCAACGUUAAUGUUAGCCAUGAGAUUAGUUCAAUCUUCUUUUAAUGUGCUCCAUUUUUUAUUUGUCUAUUUAUUUUGUGUUUUAACUACUAUUGGCUUAUUUUUUUUAACUAAUCAGUUUUAACCUGUAUCUAUGUUUUAACUAAUUUAUGUUCUUUUAACAGUCUAGUCAGCUAGAGCCGGCGGGGAAGGAGAAGGAGCCUAGUCAGCUAGAGCCAGUAGCGAAGGGGAAGGAGAUUUCAAUGGNAUUAUGACGCCGAUGAUAUGUUAAGAGAUUUUGGGGAGGCAAAUAAGUAGUGUGAGUAUGUGGAGGAUGAACCGAAUCCAGACGCCAAAGAAUUUUAUAAGAUGCNGUAUAGGCAGCUGUGAAUGAGGUAGUUUCCUGGAAUUUGACAAAUAUUUAACUUAUGUUUUGGUUGAUGCCAGUGAUGGAAAUAUCACUUAUAUAUAUUUUGUCGAUAACAAGUAACAUAUAACUUGUAUUUUGGAUUAUGGAUUGCAAUGGCAGUGUGCCUCUUAAGCCUUUAUUUUAUGUCAGGGGGGUUUGGAUGUAGAAUUUGUUUUAAAAUUAUUGUUUGUUGGAUAUUUCAAUUCUUGGAUUUGUACAGGUAGGAAGAGGUAUGCACAAACUGAAUUAUUUUUAUAAUUGCAUAAUAAAUUCGACCGGAAAAAAUGAAGUUUGGAAAUAAUUUUCAGCAAAUUGCAUAAUAAAUACGACUGGAAAAAUUAAAUGGUCAAAUAAUUUCGACCACAAAAUUGCGGCAAGAAAUUGGCGGGAGUUUUAAAAAGCGGUCGAAAUUAUUAAUUCGACCGCAAUUUCAAAUUUUGAGCGGCAUUCCAAAUUUUCAAAAUUUUCAAAGUCAAAUUGUCGUGGGGAAUUGUUCGACCGUAUUUGGUCGAAAUUAGCCGGUCGAAAUCCGAAUUUCGACUACGUUAUCUUUGACCGGUUUUUUCGGUCGAAAAUAGUUAUUUUAGACUGUUUAUGGUCGAAAAUAACUAUUUUCGACCGUAUUCUGGCGGUCGAAAUAAGCCGCUUUUCUUGUAGUGAUUAUGUCGAAAAAUUAGAUGGUGACCUAAUAGCUGAAUUUGUACUCUAAUGCAAUUUACUGUUAUAUCUAUGUAAAGAAAAUUUUUAUAAAUCAAAGUGGAGUAUAAUUCUACAUGUUAUUACAUCAACCAAUAAUAAUUAAAUAAUUAUAGUACAACUUUAUUAACAAUCAUACUACAACGCAAGUAAAAUGAAUGCUUUUGAAUAGAAAAAGCAACUUAUAAGCUCUGGGGCUGAUUCUCCAUACUGGGGAGAGGCCAACUCUCGCAACUCAGAACUUGUUGUUAUACCAAUAAACCCCUUUGUUUUGCUCAUCUUCCUCGACGUAGACACAAUCUUUUAGAGUACUCCACAGUGAUUUAUAGAAUGGGGUGUAAUCAUACUGAUAGUACUCCCCCAAUAUANUAUGCCUCUUCUUAUUCCCGGGCCUAAGGAUCCAACGAAAGACUUGCUUGUUUAUCUUAGACCAUUGAUUGAUAAAUUGAGAGAUUUAUGGCAGAAUGGGGUGGAAACCUAUGAUAGGUUCUCACGUUCCAACUUUUUGAUGAGAGCAGCAUUGAUGUGGACAAUUAGCGACUUUCCUGCACUUGCCAUGCUUAGCGGGUGGUCGACUAAGGGGAAGUUGUCAUGUCCAGUUUGCAUGGGAGAGGUAAAGGCCAAACAACUCAAGUAUGGUGGCAAAGUUACCUUUUAUGGCACUUCUAGAUAUUUUUUAGAACCGGAUGAUCCAUUAAGAAGAAGUACGAGAUUUGGAAGUGUUGAGACACGAUCAUGCACAUGUCGUCAUUCAGGAAUAAUUGCAAAGACCAUGUGUGAGCAUAAACAAUUCCCCCCUCCAGGAAAGUCAUCUAAGAAGAAAGCAAAAGAUUAUGGUGUGACACAUAAUUGGAUCCACUUUUCCCCAUUUUUUGAGCUUCCGUAUUGGGAGACCCUUAGUCUUCGUCAUAACAUCGAUAUCAUGCACACGGAGAAAAAUGUUUUUGACAACAUAUUCUACACGAUUCUUGAUGAUAAGCAAAAGUCAAAAGAUANNNNNNNNNNNNNNNNNNNNNNNNNNNNNNNNNNNNNNNNNNNNNNNNNNNNNNNNNNNNNNNNNNNNNNNNNNNNNNNNNNNNNNNNNNNNNNNNNNNNNNNNNNNNNNNNNNNNNNNNNNNNNNNNNNNNNNNNNNNNNNNNNNNNNNNNNNNNNNNNNNNNNNNNNNNNNNNNNNNNNNNNNNNNNNNNNNNNNNNNNNNNNNNNNNNNNNNNNNNNNNNNNNNNNNNNNNNNNNNNNNNNNNNNNNNNNNNNNNNNNNNNNNNNNNNNNNNNNNNNNNNNNNNNNNNNNNNNNNNNNNNNNNNNNNNNNNNNNNNNNNNNNNNNNNNNNNNNNNNNNNNNNNNNNNNNNUGCAUAGUGCUUCGGAACCGAUUUAUCCAAAUAAUGUCAACUAUACAACCUUUGAGUUUGUGAACGAGUUACUUCAUUUCAAGAACAAGCAUAAUUGUAGUAACAAUGGCUUUGAUGAGUUUCUUAAGCUCAUUGGAUCAGUCUUGCCUGCCAAUCAUAAACUGCCCCAAACCUACUAUGCUGUGAAAAAUAUGCUUAAAGGAUUGAAUUUGGGAUAUGAAAAGAUUGAUGCUUGUGAGAAUGACUGUAUGUUAUUUUACAAGGAAAAUAGCGAGAAGAUGCGUUGUGACAUAUGCAAUGAAAGUCGAUACAAAGAACCAAAAGAUCUUAACAAAAAAAGAUCCCACGGAAAGUCUUGCGCUAUUUUCCUCUUACCCCGAGACUGCAACGUUUGUUCAUGGCUGGGAAGACUACAAAAUGUAUGAGAUGGCAUCAUGACAAAAAUGUGGUUGAAGGUGAAUUAAGUCACCCGGCAGAUGGAGAUGAGUGGAAACAAUUUGACUGCAGGUUUCCAAAAUUUUCAAAAGAGAUUCGAAAUGUGAGACUCGGACUUUCUUCUGAUGGAUUUGAUCCCUUUCGUGAUGCACAUGCGAGAGAUUAUACAGUAUGGCCCGUGGUGGUUGUUGUUUACAACCUUCCCCCAUCUAUGUGCACGAAGGCUCCGUACAUGUUUAUGCCUCUUCUUAUUCCCGGGCCUAAGGAUCCAACGAAAGACUUGCAUGUUUAUCUUAGACCAUUGAUUGAUGAAUUGAGAGAUUUAUGGCAGAAUGGGGUGGAAACCUAUAAUAGGUUCUCACGUUCUAACUUUUUGAUGAGAGCAGCAUUGAUGUGGACAAUUAGCGACUUUCCUGCACUUGCCAUGCUUAGUUGGCUCUUAAUAAAAUAAAGACCCGACGUGAUACAAAGAUGUCCGCUCUUAAGGAUGCUGGAUACAAUGAUAAUGAAAUACCUUGGGACUUGUGCAAGCCUCAUUAUUUCUCUUCUGAGGUAUGGCAAUCUCUUUUGAAAUAUUGGAAUUUGGCCGACACCAAGAAAAGGUCAAAAUAUGCAAAGGAAGCACGGAAAAAGCUACAAUGUCACUCGCGCACAGGGGCAAUGUCGUAUGAUGUGAGACGCGAGGUAUACUACUAUUUUUCUAUUAGUUUCCAUGUUCUUUUUAUUUGUAUCACCUGUCAAGUAAAUUGGUGCACUAAUUUUAAAUUUUUUUAUAUUUGCUCGGAAGAAAAUUGAUAAAGAAAGAGAGGCGAAAGGCUUGCCACCACUAACACAUUUAGAGUUUGUGGAUUAUGUAUAUAAUCCUAAUGAACCAGCGGUGAAAGAACUGAAGGUUUGUUUUACUAGUGUUGUGCAGUGCGCACUUUAUAUUCUGUAUCAUUUGUAGAUGAUUGGCAAUUAUGCAAAUGAAUCUUACUGUUGAAUUCUUGCUUGUUAUAUUGUAGGAGAAAAUGAUUGAGGUUGAGUCUUCUAUGCCUCCAUUGCCUGAAGAUGGUGAAAGAGUUUCUACAGAAAUUAAGCAAAAGCGAGAUCUGUUGGUGUUGCUAAAGGGUAAACCUCCUAGGAAAGGGAAACUGAGUCUUUUUCCCGGAGUUAUAUCGGACUCACUACAUCCGGGCAGCUAGGGGAUUAAUUCCCAAAAUUCUCAUUGAUAAUGACAAGGUCAUUAUAAAGGUAUGUGCCCCCAGCUUAGCGACAAUAAACCUAGCUUUCCAUAUUUUUGUCUUUCUUUCUGCACUUAGUAUUUCUUUUUCAAUAUGCAAAUAAUUCUUCAUGCUUGUGCAUUGACAUUUUUAUUAAUUAACUGUAUCUUUUAAUAUCCGUACAACAUAUAUCAUUUCAUCAUGUGAACUUGAGUACAUUAGUAAAUAUAAUAAAUAUAAUAUUAAGUUUCUUGCUCUAUUGUCCAACUUGUUCACCUACUGUUCGUGCCUCAUCUUACAUAAUAAAUAUGAGAUUAACUACUCUGCUUACGCAUUGAUGGUGUGAAACAGUGUGUGUGUGUGUGUGUGUGUGUGUGUGUGUGUGUGUGUGUGUUUGUUUGUGAGAUGAAUCUAGUUUAUUGAAUUCACAUUAUGAAGAUAAUAUGUUUGAAUCUGGAUUGUUUUGGGUUGUGUGAUUAGAUGUGGAUCAUAAUUUCAUUUUGAAAUGUCAAUGUUGAAAUGCUGGUUUGUUUGUUUUUCUGUGUCGGUGGAUUUAGUUGUUUUGUGUUUUUCGUGAUCACGGCAUCUCUUGGUCAUGUGGCUUUGUUUGGAGUUUCUUUAUGUUGCUAUGGAUCUGAAUCUGUUAAGUUCUACUAUUUACUUUUGAUCUGAUUGUGUUUCCAUUGGUUUGAUUUGAUCGAUAUUCCAGUUGUAGUAUGGGCAACGCUUCUCCUUUACUAGUUGAUUAGUUCAAUCUUCUUUUAAUGUGCUCUAUGAUUGCAAGUUAUUCCUAUGAUUUUAGUUCUUGGUUUAGUCAAGUGGCAUAGAAGAAGAUUGAUUUUAAUGCUUCAGUUCUCAUCUUAAUUAAGUGGAAUAGUACUGGAAUCUUAACUCCAUCGCUCUCAUUGAUAAUGAGUUGGAUCAAAAGUAUUAAAUGGUGAUUGGUAACUGCCUGUCUGUAAUAUCUAUGUUUUAAUUUGAACAUAUAUCCUACCGGCCUUUUGGUAGCAUUGUAAGUUCUCAGUUUUUUGUUUCAGUUGGCACACUUCUGUAUCUGAAGUUUUCAUAACGUUUGCUACUUACUAAAAGAUCAUUUCUUUUCAAGACUCUUGCCAACAUAAUAUCAUUAUAUCAUAAGAUCCAGAAACCUUUAAACAUUCACAAAUGGUCAACGUUAAUGUUAGCCAUGAGAUUAGUUCAAUCUUCUUUUAAUGUGCUCCAUUUUUUAUUUGUCUAUUUAUUUUGUGUUUUAACUACUAUUGGCUUAUUUUUUUUAACUAAUCAGUUUUAACCUGUAUCUAUGUUUUAACUAAUUUAUGUUCUUUUAACAGUCUAGUCAGCUAGAGCCGGCGGGGAAGGAGAAGGAGCCUAGUCAGCUAGAGCCAGUAGCGAAGGGGAAGGAGAUUUCAAUGGUAGAGGUUACUGGGUUCGAAGACGAAGGGGAGUUUGAUGUUAAUGCUUAUUUAUACCCUUUAUCUUAGUAUAGGCAGCUGUGAAUGAGGUAGUUUCCUGGAAUUUGACAAAUAUUUAACUUAUGUUUUGGUUGAUGCCAGUGAUGGAAAUAUCACUUAUAUAUAUUUUGUCGAUAACAAGUAACAUAUAACUUGUAUUUUGGAUUAUGGAUUGCAAUGGCAGUGUGCCUCUUAAGCCUUUAUUUUAUGUCAGGGGGGUUUGGAUGUAGAAUUUGUUUUAAAAUUAUUGUUUGUUGGAUAUUUCAAUUCUUGGAUUUGUACAGGUAGGAAGAGGUAUGCACAAACUGAAUUAUUUUUAUAAUUGCAUAAUAAAUUCGACCGGAAAAAAUGAAGUUUGGAAAUAAUUUUCAGCAAAUUGCAUAAUAAAUACGACUGGAAAAAUUAAAUGGUCAAAUAAUUUCGACCACAAAAUUGCGGCAAGAAAUUGGCGGGAGUUUUAAAAAGCGGUCGAAAUUAUUAAUUCGACCGCAAUUUCAAAUUUUGAGCGGCAUUCCAAAUUUUCAAAAUUUUCAAAGUCAAAUUGUCGUGGGGAAUUGUUCGACCGUAUUUGGUCGAAAUUAGCCGGUCGAAAUCCGAAUUUCGACUACGUUAUCUUUGACCGGUUUUUUCGGUCGAAAAUAGUUAUUUUAGACUGUUUAUGGUCGAAAAUAACUAUUUUCGACCGUAUUCUGGCGGUCGAAAUAAGCCGCUUUUCUUGUAGUGAUUAUGUCGAAAAAUUAGAUGGUGACCUAAUAGCUGAAUUUGUACUCUAAUGCAAUUUACUGUUAUAUCUAUGUAAAGAAAAUUUUUAUAAAUCAAAGUGGAGUAUAAUUCUACAUGUUAUUACAUCAACCAAUAAUAAUUAAAUAAUUAUAGUACAACUUUAUUAACAAUCAUACUACAACGCAAGUAAAAUGAAUGCUUUUGAAUAGAAAAAGCAACUUAUAAGCUCUGGGGCUGAUUCUCCAUACUGGGGAGAGGCCAACUCUCGCAACUCAGAACUUGUUGUUAUACCAAUAAACCCCUUUGUUUUGCUCAUCUUCCUCGACGUAGACACAAUCUUUUAGAGUACUCCACAGUGAUUUAUAGAAUGGGGUGUAAUCAUACUGAUAGUACUCCCCCAAUAUAGGCUUAAAUGCUUUGGUGGCUUCCACUGCAUGGUAAUGUGGCAUUUUCGGAAAGAGAUGAUGUGCUACAUGUGUAUUCGGCUGCUGAUGAAACACCGUGUUGAGAAAUCCAAAAUCACGAUCAAUUGUUGCCAUGGAUCCCUUUAUUUUUUGAGCUUCCGUAUUGGGAGACCCUUAGUCUUCGUCAUAACAUCNAAGAGGGUUUGUGUGUUGAAGUACAGCCACUAUGAUCAGCAUUGCAUUUUGGAAUAGGUAGGGUCCUACGUAAAUAAAACCAAUCCAAGCGAAGCCUUUCAACAGAGCAAGUUUGUAUACUACAUAUAUCACGGCCAAGCAUCCAGCAUCCGAAAGCAAGACUUGAGCACGUUGCUUUCGUGAGAACAUUGGACUAUACGGAUCAAAAUGAGAGGCGAAUCGGUCAUAGGUACGGCCACGGAAGUUGACAAGCAAGUACAGAGGCACCGCAACAAUUAGAACCAGGAUAAUAACAAAAAAUCUUGCGACAGGAUUGUUGAGGUAUUUAAAAAUAAACGAGACUUGAUUCUUGAGCAGAGGGACGUCGAAUUCUUCCUCUUCGAGGGAUCCGGUUCUCAAGUGGUGACGAUGGUGACUAAACUUGAAUGAAAAAUAAGGAAACAGG